Molecule: non-coding RNA, 228 nt
Organism: Vicia faba (fava bean)
Lineage: Eukaryota; Viridiplantae; Streptophyta; Magnoliopsida; Fabales; Fabaceae
Source: the annotation of a GenBank genome assembly
AUGUUGCGGCCAGAAAUCUGUGCAUCGACGGAUGAUCUGAGCACGGAGGGAGCGGUGAGGAAUUGCUUACGGAGGAGUAGUGUGGUUUCGGAUUGGAGGAAUUUGUCGUCCAGAUUUAUGAUUCAUGUUGCAGCGGUGAUGCCAUCCUCUAGCAGCAGUUACAUUUUCGCAGUUCAGCUUCGGAGGGUUCUUCACUUUUAUUUUUUUGUUGAUUUGUUGCAAGGUUGA